Molecule: transfer RNA, 72 nt
Filed under: Otolemur garnettii (small-eared galago)
Lineage: Eukaryota; Metazoa; Chordata; Mammalia; Primates; Galagidae
Rfam family: tRNA
About the family: Transfer RNA (tRNA) molecules are approximately 80 nucleotides in length. Their secondary structure includes four short double-helical elements and three loops (D, anti-codon, and T loops).
Source: Rfam by way of RNAcentral
GUGCUGGUGGUAUAGUGGCGAGCAUAGCUGCAUUCCAAGCUGUUGACCCGGGUUCGAUUCCCGGCAAACGCA